Etheostoma spectabile (orangethroat darter) is the source of this 210-nucleotide long non-coding RNA. RefSeq lists it as uncharacterized. The transcript is spliced from 4 exons. NCBI's taxonomy places the organism in Eukaryota, Metazoa, Chordata, Actinopteri, Perciformes, Percidae. The record is from RefSeq and is a predicted model, not a curated record.
GUGUGGAUGUUGGAUUAUAAAUAGGAUUGGGCAUCAAGGACUGCUUCAAGCUUGGAAUCGUUUCUAAAAUUAUGAUUCCAGUGGAAUAGUUUUUUUAUUGUAAUCGUUCGGAAAAAAUGGUGUUCCAAAUUUAACAUGCGAAAGUUUGGGUUUCCGUAGCGGCCAGGGGCUUGUUGUGUUGCCGCCGUGGAGUAUAGUAAGAGGUGCUCU